RNA transcript from Mandrillus leucophaeus (drill), 2591 nucleotides. It is a transcript of the gene named SEC14-like protein 1 pseudogene, with no coding region annotated. The transcript is spliced from 2 exons. Lineage: Eukaryota; Metazoa; Chordata; Mammalia; Primates; Cercopithecidae. The record is from RefSeq and is a predicted model, not a curated record.
AACCAUGACUGCCCCGCAGAGCCGUUGCUAGACUUUGGGUUCCUUGAGGAUAUUCAGUUUUUGUAUGUUUGAAUAUCCUGUCACCAUGUUCAGCAUAAAAUACCAUUCUUAAUGAUUAUCUUUGGCAAGACAGUUGUAAAAGGAUUGCUGUUGUAUUACAAUCAUGGUGCAAAAAUACCAGUCAGCAGUGAGGGUGUACGAAUACCCCUUCGAAUUAUUAUGGCUGCCUAUGAAAGGAGGUUCCCUACGUGUGCCUUUGAUUCUGAUGUUUGUGGGCAGUGACACUGUGAAUGAAUUCAAGAGUGAAGAUGGGGCUAUUCAUGUCAUUGAAAGGCACUGCAAGCUGGAUGUAGGUGCACCAAGACUGCUGAAGAACAUUGCAGAAUUUGAUUACGUUUAUUUUGUCCAGAAGAACUCACUGAAUUCUUGGGAGUGUACUUUGCAUAUUGAGGCUCUUAAUGAAACAUUUUCCAGUCGCUACACCGUUCACCCUGAAAAUGAAGAUUGGACCUGUUUUGAAUAGUCUUCGAGUUUAGAUAUUAAAUCUUUCUUUGAUUUUGAAAGUACCAUGGAAAAAAAUUGCAAUGAAACAAUAUACCAGCAACAUUUAAAAAGGAAAGGAAAUCAUUGAAUACUACCUUUGCCAUUUAGAAGAAGAAGGCAUAACCUUUGUGCCCCGUUGGACUCCACCUUCCAUCAUGCCCUCUUCAGAGACAUCUUCGUCAUCCUGCAAGAAACAAACAGCGUCCAUGGCCGUCAUCAUCCCAGAUGCUGCCCUCAAGAAGGGGCUGAGUGGUGAUGCCCUCAGCAGCCCCAGCGCACCUGAGCCCGUGGUGGGCACCCCUGAUGACAAACGAUGUAGAUGCCGACUACAUCAAGAGAUACCUGGGCAAUUUGACUCCGCUGCAGGAGAGCUCUCUCAUUAGACUUCACUGGUGGCUCCAGAAGACCCAUAAGGGCAAAAUUCCAAAAGAUGAACAUAUUCUUCAGUUCCUACGUGCACGGGAUUUUAAUAUUGACAAAGCCAGAGAGAUCAUUUGUCAAUCUUUGACAUGGAGGAAGCAGCACCUGGUAGACUACGUUCUUGCUACCUAGACCUCUCCACUAGUUCCUUCAGGAUUACUACACAGGAGGCUGGCGUCAUUACAACAAAGGUGGGCGGCCCCUCUGUGUGCUCAGGCUGGGGCAGAUGGACACCAACGGCUUGAUGAGAGUGUUUGGGGAGGAAGCCCUGCUGAGAUACAUCCUCUCCAUAAAUGAAGAAGGGCUAAGGCGAUGUGAAGAGAAUACAGAAGUCUUUAUUUGGCAUAUCAGCUCAUGGACCUGCCUGGUGGACUUGGAAGGGCUGAACAUGCGCCAGUUGUGGAGACCUGAUGUCAAAGCGCUGUGGCGGAUCAUCGAGGUGGUGAAGGCCAAUUACCCUGAGAGACUGGGCCGACUUCUCAUCCUGUGGGCACCCAGGGUAUUUCCUGUGCUCUGGACACUAGUUAGUCCAUUUAUUGAUGACAAUGCCAGAAGGAAAUUCCUCAUUUAUGCAGGAAAUGACUACCAGGGUCCUGGAGGCCUGCUGGAUUACAUUGACAGAUUAUUCCAGAUUUCCUGAGUGGAGUGUGCAUGUACAAAGUGCCAGAGGGUGGACUGGUCCCCAAAUCUCUGUACUGGACUGUGGAGGAGCUGGAGAAUGAAGACUUCAAGCUCUGAACUGAGACCGUCUACCAGUCUGCAAGCAUCUUCAGAGGAGCCCCGCACAAGAUUCUCAUUCAGAUUGUGAAUGCCUCUUCAGUCAUCACUUGGAAUUUUGACGUGUACAAAGGGGACAUUGCCUUUAACAUCUAUCACUCCAAGAGGUCGCCACAGCCACCCUAAAAGGACUCCCUGGGGGCCCCUGGGAACAAUGUGCAGCUCAUAGACACAGUCUGGCAGCGGGGCCACAACUGCGGCAUGGUGGAGUCGCCUCUGAUCUGUAAAGAAGGAGAAGGUGUGCAAGACUCCCAUGUGACCAGGUGGCCGGGCCUCUACAUCUUGCAGUGGAAAUUCCACAGCAUGCCUGCGGACGCCGCCAGCCUGUCUCAGGUGGAUGAUGUGCUCACGUCCCUGCAGAUCUCUUCGCACAACUGUAAAGUGAUGUACUCCACCAAGGUGAUAGGCUCCGAGGGUUUCAGAGGUUCCAUGACGAGCCUGGAGUCCAGCCACAGUGGCUUCUCCCAGUUGAGCGCGCCACCACCUCCUCCAGCCAGUCCCACUCCAGCUCCACGGUUUCCAGAUAGUGCCGCACCGCCUUCACUUAGUGUGCAGCGGGGAUGGCUGCCCCUCCGCGGACAGCCAGCUCCACCCUCCCGCCCAGUGGCCACAUUGUACAGACUCCUCUCACCUCUAGACAGCAAAUAGCUCUCCAGACGGUAAAUGUAGUCAUUUCAUCCCAAAACUGUCUUGGCAGGUGGUUUUAACUCUGAUCCUACUUUAACUAAAUAGCCAUAGAUUUUGUAUAUGUUGUACACAAAAUCAAACCAGAGCACAAGGGCUCUCUUGAAAUAAAAGUAGUUUCUAUACCAAUUAAAAGAUGGACGUGGUCUCAGAAAAAAGAAAAAAGA